UAUAUAUAUAUAUAUAUCAAGUUAUUUUCUAUUUUUACAUGCAAAGGGAGAAAAACAUGGUUAAAAUUCUUAUGUUUUUUUGUAUUAUGAUCCUUUUUCUUUCCAUAUUUAUUGUUGCAACUGACAUCGAAGAAGAUCUUUUAAAAUGCGACACUUACUCUGAUUGUCCGUCUCAAAUGUGUUAUAGUUUUCUUAAUUUUAUUGUGAAGUGUAUUAACAACCGAUGUGAUUGUGUUCGUGAGAAAGAUUUAGGACCAUGAAUCCCUUAUAAUAUUUCAUGAGUAAUCAUUUAGUUAUUGUAUGACAACCAAUAAUUGAUUUUUUUUCCCUUUCCUUAAGGACCUUGCAUUAACGACUUUGUACUUUAAGAUGAUCCUAAUGGGAAAAAAAAUUUAUUAUUAUUUGAUAUUA
This is a long non-coding RNA of Trifolium pratense (red clover), 411 nucleotides long. RefSeq lists it as uncharacterized. The record is from RefSeq and is a predicted model, not a curated record. Lineage: Eukaryota; Viridiplantae; Streptophyta; Magnoliopsida; Fabales; Fabaceae. The transcript has 2 exons.